UCAGUCAGUGAAGUAUUUACAGACACCUGAAUGAGUUAAUCAGCUUGUGACAGAUCAGGGAGAGAUGGAAAAUGUGUAUGUCAGGUGGUACUUGAG
Long non-coding RNA from Thalassophryne amazonica, 96 nucleotides. RefSeq lists it as uncharacterized. NCBI's taxonomy places the organism in Eukaryota, Metazoa, Chordata, Actinopteri, Batrachoidiformes, Batrachoididae. The record is from RefSeq and is a predicted model, not a curated record. The transcript is spliced from 3 exons.